GAUGAACGCUGGCGGCGUGCCUAAUACAUGCAAGUCGAGCGAACAGAUGAGGAGCUUGCUCCUCUGACGUUAGCGGCGGACGGGUGAGUAACACGUGGAUAACCCACCUAUAAGACUGGGAUAACUUCGGGAAACCGGAGCUAAUACCGGAUAAUAUAUUGAACCGCAUGGUUCAAUAGUGAAAGACGGUUUUGCUGUCACUUAUAGAUGGAUCCGCGCCGCAUUAGCUAGUUGGUAAGGUAACGGCUUACCAAGGCAACGAUGCGUAGCCGACCUGAGAGGGCGAUCGGCCACACUGGAACUGAGACACGGUCCAGACUCCUACGGGAGGCAGCAGUAGGGAAUCUUCCGCAAUGGGCGAAAGCCUGACGGAGCAACGCCGCGUGAGUGAUGAAGGUCUUCGGAUCGUAAAACUCUGUUAUUAGGGAAGAACAAAUGUGUAAGUAACUAUGCACGUCUUGACGGUACCUAAUCAGAAAGCCACGGCUAACUACGUG
Molecule: ribosomal RNA, 497 nt
Filed under: uncultured bacterium
Lineage: Bacteria
Description: partial 16S ribosomal RNA
Rfam family: Bacterial small subunit ribosomal RNA
Source: RNAcentral